This 497-nucleotide ribosomal RNA is filed under the name uncultured bacterium. Its description in RNAcentral is "partial 16S ribosomal RNA". It matches the Rfam family "Bacterial small subunit ribosomal RNA", at positions 28 to 507 of the family's 1533-position model. The record is from RNAcentral.
GAUGAACGCUGGCGGCGUGCCUAAUACAUGCAAGUCGAGCGAACAGACGAGGAGCUUGCUCCUCUGACGUUAGCGGCGGACGGGUGAGUAACACGUGGAUAACCUACCUAUAAGACUGGUAUAACUUCGGGAAACCGGAGCUAAUACCGGAUAAUAUAUUGAACCGUAUUGUUCAAUGGUGAAAGACGGUUUUGCUGUCACGUAUAGAUGGAUCCGCGCCGCAUUAGCUAGUUGGUAAGGUAACGGCUUAGCAAGGCAACGAUGCGUAGACGACCUGAGGGGGUGAUCGGCCACACUAGAGGUGAAACGGGGUCCAGGCUCCUACGGGAGGCAGCAGUAGGGAAUCGUCCGCAAAGGGGGAAAGUCUGACGGAGCGGCGCCACGUGAGUGAUUGAGGUCUUCGGUUCGUAAAACUCUGUUAUUAGGGGAAAACAGAUGUGUAAGUAACUAUGCACGUCUUGACGGUAACUAAUCAGAAAGCCACGGCUAACUACGUG